RNAcentral lists this ribosomal RNA (433 nucleotides) under uncultured bacterium. RNAcentral's name for it is "bacterial SSU rRNA". It matches the Rfam family "Bacterial small subunit ribosomal RNA", at positions 340 to 767 of the family's 1533-position model. The record is from RNAcentral.
UACGGGAGGCAGCAGUGGGGAAUAUUGCACAAUGGGCGCAAGCCUGAUGCAGCCAUGCCGCGUGUAUGAAGAAGGCCUUCGGGUUGUAAAGUACUUUCAGUCGUGAGGAAGGUGUUAAGGUUAAUAACCUUAGCAAUUGACGUUAGCGACAGAAGAAGCACCGGCUAACUCCGUGCCAGCAGCCGCGGUAAUACGGAGGGUGCGAGCGUUAAUCGGAAUUACUGGGCGUAAAGGGCACGCAGGCGGUUAAUUAAGUUGGAUGUGAAAUCCCCGGGCUUAACCUGGGAAUGGCAUUCAAGACUGGUUAGCUAGAGUCUUGUAGAGGGGGUAGAAUUCCAUGUGUAGCGGUGAAAUGCGUAGAGAUGUGGAGGAAUACCGGUGGCGAAGGCGGCCCCUGGACAAAGACUGACGCUCAUGUGCGAAAGCGUGGGGA